Molecule: ribosomal RNA, 408 nt
Filed under: uncultured bacterium
Lineage: Bacteria
Description: partial 16S ribosomal RNA
Rfam family: Bacterial small subunit ribosomal RNA
Source: RNAcentral
GACGAACGCUGGCGGCGUGCUUAACACAUGCAAGUCGAACGAAGUGGCGCACGGGUGAGUAACGCGUAAUCAACUUGCCCUUCAGUGGGGGACAACAGUUGGAAACGACUGCUAAUACCGCAUACUGAAGGAGGGGGUUGGGUCUGAUUAGCUAGUUGGAGAGGUAACGGCUCACCAAGGCGAUGAUCGGUAGCCGGCCUGGGAGGGUGAUCGGCCACAAGGGGCUAGGGACACGGCCCUUACUCAUACGGGAGGCAGCAGUGGGGAAUAUUGGACAAUGGACCAAAGUCUGAUCCAGCAAUUCUGUGUGCAAGAUGAAGUUUUUCGGAAUGUAAAGUGCUUUCAGUUGGGAAGCGGUACCAACAGAAGAAGUGACGGCUAAAUACGUGCCAGCAGCCGCGGUAAUAC